CAUCUGUUUUGAUCAUAUCA
This 20-nucleotide small nuclear RNA is filed under the name Arabidopsis thaliana (thale cress). Its description in RNAcentral is "snRNA_16581". The record is from RNAcentral. Lineage: Eukaryota; Viridiplantae; Streptophyta; Magnoliopsida; Brassicales; Brassicaceae.